Molecule: small nucleolar RNA, 113 nt
Filed under: Castor canadensis (American beaver)
Lineage: Eukaryota; Metazoa; Chordata; Mammalia; Rodentia; Castoridae
Description: Small nucleolar RNA SNORA42/SNORA80 family (ENSCCNG00000012662.1)
Rfam family: Small nucleolar RNA SNORA42/SNORA80 family
About the family: The members of this family belong to the H/ACA class of snoRNAs that guide the sites of modification of uridines to pseudouridines. Human ACA42 (SNORA42) was cloned from HeLa cells by immunoprecipitation with anti-GAR1 antibody.
Source: Rfam by way of RNAcentral
GCAAGAUCUGUGCACUUCUCUCAUAGUGUCCCCAUGCCAGAGCAAACUGUAGCCCAGAACCAUUGCCUGGCCUCUGCCUGUAGGCUGCUAGCACUGAAGUGGGUUGCACAGUA